Molecule: ribosomal RNA, 253 nt
Filed under: uncultured bacterium
Lineage: Bacteria
Description: partial 16S ribosomal RNA
Rfam family: Bacterial small subunit ribosomal RNA
Source: RNAcentral
UACGUAGGGGGCUAGCGUUGUCCGGAAUCAUUGGGCGUAAAGCGCGUGUAGGCGGCCCGGUAAGUCCGCUGUGAAAGUCGGGGGCUCAACCCUCGGAUGCCGGUGGAUACUGUCGGGCUCGAGUACGGAAGAGGCGAGUGGAAUUCCUGGUGUAGCGGUGAAAUGCGCAGAUAUCAGGAGGAACACCGAUGGCGAAGGCAGGUCUCUGGGCCGAUACUGACGCUGAGGAGCGAAAGCGUGGGGAGCGAACAGG